Betta splendens (Siamese fighting fish) is the source of this 1771-nucleotide long non-coding RNA. RefSeq lists it as uncharacterized. The record is from RefSeq and is a predicted model, not a curated record. The transcript has 3 exons. NCBI's taxonomy places the organism in Eukaryota, Metazoa, Chordata, Actinopteri, Anabantiformes, Osphronemidae.
AAAGAGGCUUGACAUCGAAACGCAAUUAUGUUUGUUGUCGUACAUUUUUUUUAAUCUUUGCUGAAUCAUUUACUUUUUAAUAUUCCAUAUGGAUUUUGCAGCCCUGACACUGUCUGCGUUUAACACCGUGCAAAUUACCAAAUGGGUUCAGGCUUGUCAGAUGGUGAGGGCUUCUGUCGACAUCAUCUGAGGUGAGAGUUCACAGGCGAGAGCUGAACCCUUGGCCCUAUGGAAUUAUUAAAUUAUAUAAAUUAGGUUCAUAUUCUUGACCUGUAAUAAAGGAAGAACAAAGUAUGUGCGUUCUGAUGUUUGAAGGGCCAUUUUAAGUCUGCUGACUCCAUCAUAUGCGUUAUCAGUGUUUCCUACUCAACCCGUGACCUUGAGCCGAGAUAGGAACUAAAACCACGGCACCGGAAGCAGUGGAGGCAAAGACAGCGAUGAAAAAAAGCAGAUGGCUGGACGGGGACCAGGCGCGGAGCCGUCACGUGACGGGCGGCGUGCCAUGGAACUUCCUGCUCGCUCUCCCUCUCUGUCGCAGCAGUUGGUGUCACUACUCACGCCGUCUGCGUGAAUUCAAGGCCCCAGCUGAACAGAUUGGCCAGUCGGCGAGGAUCAUUCGCAGAAAACUCUACUAAUCUCCCACCGGCUGCCUCGACCACGCUCACAUACACUGUCUCUCUUUCUUUCUUCUCUCUGUGCAGACUUCUCCCGAAAAACUGUGUCGAGGGAGGGCAGAGGAUUUAGAAAACAUGUCAUCUUGAGCUCCGUUCCAAAUCGUGAUAUGCACCAUUGUGAUAAAAAGAGAUACCUACUCUAACAAAAUGAUAAGCCCGGAGCGCUGGUUCAAUCCCUCCACGGCCGUGAUGGGUCACGACACGCUUCCUCCUGGAAACCCAUGAGCUGAACCUCUAGAACCAGAAGUAGACCAGCACUCUAAGAACCAAGCGUUCUGUUCGGAAGAUGUUGUGGAUCUUGAUUAAUUCACAGAGCUACAGUAUGUGAGUGAGGAGAGGGAUUUUCUAUUCUGUUCUAGAGCCAAUGAAGAGAAGCAAACAUGGGAGAAAUAUGAUCUCUGGUUUAACUUCCAGCCACUCUCAAUUAACAGUGUGCUUUUAGACUAAAUGUCUGUUUCACUGCGGCAAACUGGGAUUGUCUCACUGCGUCUCAUGCUGCUGUGUACCAAUAUAUGAUCUGGGACUUGUGUGACACCUCUGACACAGGCCUGCAACUGGACAAAAGCUGAAAUGACCUAAAUCCUCAGUGAAUUAAUAUGAAAACCAUCUGAUAAGUGUCUACUGACACUCUCUGCUGCUGCCUCGGUGCUGACACACAGACGUUGGAUGAACUUGUUUCUACACCGACGUAAAGUACCUCACACAGGUACUGACGAUGCAGCGGCGUGAACAUGGCUACAGAAAAGGAAGUGGACGAGAAGAAGAAGCUGAAGAAAAGAUGUCUUAAGUUACUCAAACUGUCAAAUUUUCUUUCUUUAUGAUUUUGUGAAAAAGCUAAAUCAGAUAAUUUUCACUGAAAAUAUUGUAAGUUCUGUUUAGCUCAAAGCAAACCUUAAUGCUUUUCUAUAUCUUUCUCACAGAUACUGUAUCACUUCCUGUAUGUGUCAUAUGAUAUACUGAUAGUUGUAAAGCUACAUGUAAUACAGGAUAUAACCUUUGAGUUUGGGUUCAGUAGUUUUUCUAGAAUAGCAGUUGUUUACAUUCCACACAUGUCAUAGAUGACAAAACGAGGCAAUGAGGAAAAAUGCAAACAAAUG